UAGCCGUAAACGAUACUCGCUAGGUGUCGGUCACGGUGCGACCGUUGUCGGUGCCGUAGGGAAGCCGUGAAGCGAGCCACCUGGGAAGUACGGCCGCAAGGCUGAAACUUAAAGGAAUUGGCGGGGGAGCACAACAACGGGUGGAGCUUGCGGUUUAAUUGGAUUCAACGCCGGAAAUCUUACCGGGACCGACAGCAACAUGAAGGCCAAGCUGAAGACUUUGCCGGAUUAGCUGAGAGGAGGUGCAUGGCGUAGUCGUGU
RNAcentral lists this ribosomal RNA (261 nucleotides) under uncultured archaeon. Its description in RNAcentral is "partial 16S ribosomal RNA". It matches the Rfam family "Archaeal small subunit ribosomal RNA", at positions 748 to 1009 of the family's 1478-position model. The record is from RNAcentral.